CCAUAACUUCUAGGGCUGCAAACUAUAAAAAAGAGGAGAACGAUUCCAAGAGCAGGUUCUCAAUUCAUGAUGCUCAAAAUGUACUGAGUCCUACCGUGCUAUAUGAUACAGCCACCGGGACUAAAGAGAUGAAUGAGGCUAUUCCAACACCAUUUGCUGAAGCUGUUGAAAGCACAUUAACUCAUACCUCACUU
Neltuma alba is the source of this 194-nucleotide long non-coding RNA. RefSeq lists it as uncharacterized. The record is from RefSeq and is a predicted model, not a curated record. The transcript has 3 exons. NCBI's taxonomy places the organism in Eukaryota, Viridiplantae, Streptophyta, Magnoliopsida, Fabales, Fabaceae.